Molecule: long non-coding RNA, 1249 nt
Organism: Protopterus annectens (West African lungfish)
Lineage: Eukaryota; Metazoa; Chordata; Ceratodontiformes; Protopteridae
Exons: 2
Source: RefSeq, a predicted model, not a curated record
CUUGUAGCAUUUUAGUUGCUUACUCUAUUUCCUAUGACAUUUCGGUGUUUCAGAUACAAAAUAACUGUUUUAUGCAACUUUUAAAGAAAACUUAAGAAAUAUGUUUUCUCCUAAAAUCUCAGAACAUUUGACAUUUUUUAGUUUUUUUUUCGCAUGGCACAACUGCCCGAAGAGAGGGACUGUCACUCGCAAAAGGACAGAUGGGUAACCCUUCUUAUCGAAAAUAUGUUCUCCAGUUUGUGACUCAUCCCCUGAACAGAGUGACUUGACAUCGCAACAAAAAUUCACUCCAUGGCUGUCUUUCAACUGUUGCUGUUUCUGUAUGAUACUAAGUUUCUCUGAUAAUCUGUAUUUCUAAGACACCUUGUUAGAAAAGUCACAGCUCCAGUAUGCUUUUAAAGUGGGCCUCCAGGGUAAUGAUUUCACUUAUUUGCAGUAAGUCUGGAAUUCUGUAGCCCAUGUUUUGACUGGAUCUAUGGAAUUGCAUCAUGUUACCCAUUGCUGUGGGAUUUGGACUAGCUGCCCAUUGUGGCUAGAUCAGUAUUUAAAAUGUUGUUAGUCACUCAAUGAUCAUAGCACAGUCUGGGUCCUAUCUACUUUAAAGAGCUUGUUAUGCCCUGUGUCCCUAGUUGUUGACUUAUAUAGUCAUGUUUGGGGCUCCUAUUUAUUCCCGGAACCACACAUAAACUUUGGGCAGAUGUGUUUUUAUCCUUUUAGCUAUACUUUUGUGUAGUCAGCUACUUACCCUGAUUAGGGCAAGUGAGACCAAAGCCUCUUUCAGGAUAUCCUUUUGCUGCUGCCUGCUUAGGAGUUUUCUUGACUGCCUGAAUAAAUAUGCAUACAGCAACAUGUGUUACUCUGUGAAAAUCUCCAUCAUGUUUUAAAUCUGUGUUGUUAUGGAUGAUUUUUUAUGUGUAUGUUGUUUGUUUUGAUUUAUGCAUUUAUCCAUUUUAUUGUAUAUAGCAUGUAGAUUUUUUUUUUUUUGGGGGGGUUCCGACCACAUCUGUCUUCUAUCAAAGCUGUCCCAGAACCCCACCUUGAGCUUCUCCAUUAACAUCCCCAACCCAUUUGUGUCUCUUCCUUCAGAGACUGGCUAUCCCAUUAAACACAGAAUCCUUUAUAUGAAAGUAAGCAGGUAGCAAAUAUCAUGAUACAGCACCAUCUUGACAGAUGCAUAAAAUGUUUAGAUGUUUAAACAGUUUCAGCAAAGAAGUGAAAUAAAAAGCAUGUGAUGUUUGUGCUUCUGAAA